This 561-nucleotide ribosomal RNA is filed under the name Triticum aestivum (bread wheat). Its description in RNAcentral is "partial small subunit ribosomal RNA". The record is from RNAcentral. Lineage: Eukaryota; Viridiplantae; Streptophyta; Magnoliopsida; Poales; Poaceae.
AUGGUGGUUGAUGCCCUGGCCUCGAUCCUGGAUAAGGCCAAGGCCGCCGGCCACAUUCUUGGCAUCGCCCCGCACUUGGUGGAGGGAGGUGGCUUUUCCCUUCUCCAAUACGCCGAUGGCACCGUCAUCAUGGUUCAAGGCUCAGCGCCUGAGAUCUCGAACCUCAAAUUCUUCCUACUGUGUUUUCAACACCUGUCGGGCCUCAAAAUAUUUGAUAAAAGCGAGGUGAUGAUUCUGGGUUAUUCGCCCGCUGAGAGCCAGAGCAUCGCUAACCGACUUAACUGUCAGUUGGGGACAUUUCCUACUACCUACCUUGGGGUUCCCCUUAGUGACUCUCGCCUAUCCAUGCCCGACCUUCGGCCCUCAGUGCUCAAGCUUCAACACCGCAUCGAGCCGUGGCAAGGCCAAUGGCCCUCUAAGGCGGCCUGUACGAUCCUCAUCAACUCGUCCCUCUCCAGCCUCCUCCUAUUCCUCACGAGCUUCUACAGCUUCCCCGAGACUGUCCACCAUGAGAUUGGUUCGGUCCAGGCCCGGUUCUAUUAGGCGGGCGAGGGUGACAAG